UGAGAGUUCAGCUAUCAUUCUAUCAUGACCACCAUUACUAAUAGAUUCAUCAUUGUUGACAUAAAAUAAUACUUUGCCGUUCUCAGAUAUAAGUUAGAUUAACUUUUUAAUACUUUGAGUAACCAAAAUUAACAUAUCGUAACUAACAAAAAAAGUUUUAUACAUUAAUUCAUCGUACAAAGUUUGUCCAGAAAGUAAUGAGCCUAAUUAUUUUGUGACUUAACUAUGCAAUGUGGAACGGUGAAACUGGAAGAACGAGGGUGCCUUUAGCUAUUCAUAGAUAGUUAGUUCCCUCCGAGCUCUCGGAGAGUUAGUAGUUAGCUUUGACAUGAACCUCUGUAUGGUGACCGUGUUGUAGUUAAGAUGGACAAAUUUUUAGAAUAACCUUAUGGGGUGAAAUUUUGUGUCAAGCUCAACAAGACCCCCAAGGAAACAUGGGAUAUGCUUCAAAUAGCCUUCAGGGAUGUUUCUAUGUUCUAUUUGCAGGCAAAGAAGUGGCACAAGCUGUUCAGGGAAGGUUGGGAAGACCAAUGAGGCCCGUUCCGCCCUUCAACAUCGUGAAUACCUCAACCGUGUGUGCGAAUUGUUGAAAACAGACUGACAAAUGACUGUUCAUAUGAUGUCGGAAUUAUUGAACUUGCCAAAAACCAUUGUCCAUGAGAUUGUUUCGGAAGACUUGGCUAUGCGGAAGAUUUACACAAAAUGACAAUGUGCCGUCUUACACAGCCUUGUUGUCACCUCCUGCUUGAUUCGGAUUGAUGUCGAAACAAUUCCCCAGUCACUCUACAGUCCAGACUUAGCCCCAGCGGACUUCUUUUUAUUUUGACUGAAAAGGGAGCUCAAAGAACAUCAUCUGGGCACCCGAAGAACGUCCAAGCUACUACUGAAAAGUAUUUCGGCAGAGGAGUUCCAGGGAGCUUAUACAGCAUGGGAAUCACAUUAGCAAAAAUGUAUUGAAGUGAAAGGGUCUUAUUUUGAAGAAUAUUAAGUUGUAGUAGUUGUAUGAUCAAUAAAUUUUGUAAAAAAAACCAGGCUCAUUACUUUCUGGACAAACCCUGUAUAUCAAUUAUAAAUUUAAAAAAUAUAUGAAACAAAAAUAUUUUAA
Cinara cedri is the source of this 1105-nucleotide non-coding RNA. NCBI's taxonomy places the organism in Eukaryota, Metazoa, Arthropoda, Insecta, Hemiptera, Aphididae. The record is from the annotation of a GenBank genome assembly.